GACAGAGGUGCCAAGCGUUAGGCGGAAUCACUGGGCUUAAAGCGUGUGUAGGUGGUUUUGUAAGUACCUUGUGAAAUCCCAUGGCUCAACCAUGGAACUGCUCGGUAUACUGCGAAUCUUGAGCCACUUAGGGGCUACCGGAACAAAUGGUGGAGCGGUGAAAUGCGUAGAUAUCAUUUGGAACGCCAAUGGUGAAAACAGGUAGCUGGGAGUGUGCUGACACUGAGACACGAAAGCCAGGGGAGCGAACGGG
This 253-nucleotide ribosomal RNA is filed under the name uncultured bacterium. Its description in RNAcentral is "partial 16S ribosomal RNA". It matches the Rfam family "Bacterial small subunit ribosomal RNA", at positions 524 to 776 of the family's 1533-position model. The record is from RNAcentral.